Molecule: ribosomal RNA, 253 nt
Filed under: uncultured bacterium
Lineage: Bacteria
Description: partial 16S ribosomal RNA
Rfam family: Bacterial small subunit ribosomal RNA
Source: RNAcentral
UACGGAGGGUGCAAGCGUUAAUCGGAAUUACUGGGCGUAAAGCGUGCGCAGGCGGUUCUUUAAGGCAGAGGGGAAAUCCCCGGGCUCAACCUGGGAACUGCAUUUGUGACUGUAGAGCUGGAGUACGGUAGAGGGGGAUGGAAUUCCGCGUGUAGCAGUGAAAUGCGUAGAUAUGCGGAGGAACACCGAUGGCGAAGGCAAUCCCCUGGACCUGUACUGACGCUCAUGCACGAAAGCGUGGGGAGCAAACAGG